AACCAUUCUCACCUGCGGCUAGACCUGCGGAGGGAUCAUUACCGAGUUUACAACUCCCAAACCCCUGUGAACAUACCUAUACGUUGCCUCGGCGGAUCAGCCCGCGCCCUGUAAAACGGGACGGCCCGCCCGAGGACCCUAAACUCUGUUUUUAGUGGAACUUCUGAGUAAAACAAACAAAUAAAUCAAAACUUUCAACAAUGGAUCU
Molecule: unclassified non-coding RNA, 208 nt
Filed under: soil metagenome
Description: partial contains 5.8S ribosomal RNA, internal transcribed spacer 2, and large subunit ribosomal RNA
Source: RNAcentral